CUAAAAUCCUCAUCACCUCCCUCGUGGUUCCUGGGGGUGUGCCUGAAGUUUGAGGGUCAGAGCAGGAAGUGAGGGGCCAGCCAGACCCGAGGAGACCAAGCUGUGUGCUUGCUGCCCUCUGACCCCUGGGGCGGAGGGCAGGGGCCUCCUUCCACGGAAGGGACUCCUGUUGGGAGGCAGUCUAGGCUUUUGCUUUCUUUCUCUGCCCUUGGGCCCACCAGCAGUAGGCUAAUGUGCUUUCUGUGUUUCCACGAGAAGGUGGCUGAAGGCAGGAUCUCCCAGACUUUGAUCAGGAAGAGUCUUUGCUGGCAGCGCAUCUAUCAAUGUCUCCAGAACAACGUUCCUCAUGGCACACUGAUCGAACGUGCUCCUCCUGCUCCACGUGUUCAAAACCAGCCUGAGCAUCCCGCAGCCCCGUCUGACUUCUUCUCUGAGUGGAUGAUGCUGCUGUUCGGCCCGGUCACCGAGAGGAACGUGCUCUUCCUCUCCCUCCUGUUGCAGCGUCUGAGCUUCAGGCACCUCUCACCUCUUACCUGGGCUCCUGGAGGAGCUUCUGUUUGGUCUGCCCGACUCCCGCGUUGCCCCUUCAAAUCCCCCCUCCACUCCGCAGCCACCAUGACCCUCGCUGACCCCCGCUCUGCUGACGGCAGGUGCCCCCAAGUGUGUUUCCAAGAAGACGCAGUCAGUGUGCUGUAUUCAGUGUUAUAUGAACACAAAGGUUUUCAUGGUCAAUGAAGUUGGAGAAAAGAGGGAAAAUUAGUUAGGUUUAAUUACUUUCCAGAGUCUUCGACAUGCUAAAACACAUUUUGGAGCUCCAACUGGGGGGUGCUUAAUAAAACCUUUGGCAAACUUUCUAGCAACAAAGGUGUAGUUUUUUGGAAUACACUGGAUAUAGCUGUUCUACGAGCUGAAAUGUGAUUUCCUUGUCUUCUCUCAUUGCUUUUCAUCUCCAGCUGCUCUUCUUGUGUAGACAGUGGGAGGACAGCAGUGUGGUACUCUGGAUUCAAGAACAGGAAGCUCUAAAUCUCAGCACAAGACUUUGGGUCCAACUCUUUACUUCCUCAGCACACGUGCUGGCCAGGCCCCACUUGCCCCUGGCGAGGCCCAUCUCUACAGUCUGCACCAUCCAGGCCUCCCGUCCUCCGACUUCCAGCUGGGUUUGGCCAAUGGACAGCAGCGUUGGGAGACCAGUGGUGGGCAGCGGGGACGAGGGGGCAGGGUGGUCAGCACCCCCCUUGUACUGCAGUGUUUGGACCCUCUCCGGCUCCAGCUGUCUCACGUUCUGGGUAACUCUCUCCCUCCUCUUUCUCUUUUGACCCAGGGGUGAUAAUGGCUCCGAGCUGUCGCUAAUCCCUGGAGGUUUCAUCAUCUCGUGUUGUUCCUUUAGCUCUGUCCACACCUCUGUAAAUCGUCAUUCCUUAAACUCUCUUCAGUUAAACCCCUGAGUAUACCACCUGUUUCCUGCUGGAUCCCUGACAACACAGAACUUCAGUCUCCUCACAAAAUGCGGAUAGUGACCCCUCUCGCGGGGCUGUUGAGAGCAUUAGCCAAAGUUCACGAGCGUGCAGAGCUCCCAGCUCAGAGCCUGGAGUGCAGCAGGCUCACCAGAUGAGACGACGUCCCUGGGCCUGCUCCCUUCUGCCAACAGCCACACAUCUGGGAUCUUCCUGCUCCUGGCCAGUGACCCCAGCCGAAGUGGGCAAAGGGAAGCAAUGCCGGGCCCCAGUCUGAAGACACAGAGCUGCCACAGGGACCCGGGCUCCAGUCAGCGGCCACAGAACAGGGCUGACCUGCAGGUCCCAUCACAGGGCCACGGAACAGAGGGUCCUAACAAGGACCGGAGCGGCGAGGGUCGGGGUGUCCACGUGCUCUCGCUCCUCCUGGAAGAAAGCUGCCUUUGUACUGGGCCCGAUGGUCUGAGCGCCCACACUGGCCCAUUGUUCCCGAGGAGGAAGUCGUUCCAGUUCCCCCUCUACUCCUGGUCCCCCAUUAAAGUGAGCAAGGGGCCUGGAA
This is a long non-coding RNA of Equus asinus (donkey), 2013 nucleotides long. The record is from Ensembl. NCBI's taxonomy places the organism in Eukaryota, Metazoa, Chordata, Mammalia, Perissodactyla, Equidae.